UCCUGCACUCCAACCAACGAAAAAAUGAUACCUGGUGCUCUGGUCGCUAUAGUAAUAUAUCCAAAAAAAUACCGGCACUCAAGGAGUUACCAAUCUUAAAUUUUCUUUUAUUCCAAGGACGACGUCAACGUUUCAGCUCCCCAUGGAGCUUUCAUCAGGACACCAACUAUACAAUACUAAAAAGCUUAUAUAAGAAGCUAUUAGGGGGCGGAGCCAACGGCCGAGCUGCAUGGACAUGUUUUGCUAGCUCUCCCAAAAAGCCACCAGCUAAUCCGUCCACAUCGAGCUGAAAAUAAAUGAUGGGUCACCCCAAAAGAUGCCAAACCCCUCAACACCAAACGGGGAAGCCCCCGACGAACAAACACGGCGCACUGACCAAAUUCUACCGUGAUAACACGGAACACCAACACGAGGCCGCGGGCCUGUCCAUGACGCCGGAAUCCCCUCAGGACGGCUCGGCACCCUCAAGUCCGGAAGGGUCCAUGAGAUCCACAAAUCCAGAGGACAUGGAGCUCAAGGAGUUUAUACGAAACCUACCCACUAAAGAUGACAUAGCAAACUUGGCAAGAUGGAAGCCUCCUUCAAGGCGUGCCUAGACACCAUUGGG
Pelobates cultripes (western spadefoot toad) is the source of this 607-nucleotide non-coding RNA. The record is from the annotation of a GenBank genome assembly. Lineage: Eukaryota; Metazoa; Chordata; Amphibia; Anura; Pelobatidae.